RNAcentral lists this long non-coding RNA (570 nucleotides) under Brassica napus (rape). RNAcentral's name for it is "long non-coding RNA (BNAP_LNC003311)". Lineage: Eukaryota; Viridiplantae; Streptophyta; Magnoliopsida; Brassicales; Brassicaceae. The record is from RNAcentral.
GAAAGUGUUUUUGCUUAGUUAUUUGAUUAUAGAGUCUGGAAGACUCCAUGAAGACUUUGGUUUAGGGGUUAGUAACAUAUGUUAUAGUAUUGUUUGUAUUUGGGGUUUAAUUUUAGAAUCUUAACUUUUUUAAAAAAAAUGAUCUACAUGUGUUUAGUUUUGUGUAUAUUAAACGUUUUAUAAGUUGAUUUUAAGUUUAAUGAAUUGUUUUUUGCUAUCUAGUUAGUUAUUUUAUUAGGUUAUGGUUUGAAAAACUUCUAGAAGGAAGUCUUCUAAUAUAUUUCGCCUAAUUUUUAGUAGAAUUUAGGUUUCCCGCGUAAAGCGAAGUCUUUCAGAAAUCUUUCAGAAGUCUUCUCAUGUAUUUGAUUUUAGGGCCUAUAAGAUUUCACAAGAAGUCUUCUCUUAGAAGACUUCACAAGAAGUCUUAUGUAUCGAAAAUAUUUAACCUAACAUGAAUUUUUGUCUCCAUAUAUAAAUAAAAUUUACACAUUCUCUUUCUUCUUCUCAAAUGGCUGCAACAAAAUUAUAAUGUUUCUCACUCUAACUCUCCAACCUCUCUCUAAUCUCUUU